UACGAAGGGUGCAAGCGUUACUCGGAAUUACUGGGCGUAAAGCGUGCGUAGGUGGUUCGUUAAGUCCGAUGUGAAAGCCCUGGGCUCAACCUGGGAAUGGCAUUGGAUACUGGCGGGCUAGAGUGCGGUAGAGGGCAGUGGAAUUCCCGGUGUAGCAGUGAAAUGCGUAGAGAUCGGGAGGAACAUCUGUGGCGAAGGCGACUGCCUGGACCAGCACUGACACUGAGGCACGAAAGCGUGGGGAGCAAACAGGAUUAGAAACCCAGUAGUCC
RNAcentral lists this ribosomal RNA (272 nucleotides) under uncultured prokaryote. Its description in RNAcentral is "partial 16S ribosomal RNA". It matches the Rfam family "Bacterial small subunit ribosomal RNA", at positions 524 to 796 of the family's 1533-position model. The record is from RNAcentral.